UGGAUUUGGGGUUUUGAUAUAGAAAUUAGGAUAACAAGAAUUGUUUGUUUACAGAUGGAGUAUUCUUUUAGAUUUUUUGAUCAAUAGUUGUAUUUUUUAAAUAUAAUUAUCAAAAGUUCUAUUUUAGGAAAGUUUUCAUUGUAUAUAGAAAUAUUGUAGAUUUGGGGUUGUGGUUUAGAAAUUAGGAUAAAAAUAUAUUUUUUUGAUGUAUGAGUAUUUUUUUAGAUUUUUUGGAUCAAUAGGUUGUUUAUCUUAGAUAAAAUUCUCAAAACUUCUAUUUUUAGAAAGUUUUCAUUUUUAUUGAGAAAUAUUGUAGAUUUAAGGUUGUGAUUUAGAAUUUAGGAUAACAAGAAAUUUUGUUGAUAGAUGAGUAUUCUUUGAGGUUUUUUGAUCAAUAGGUUGUAUAUUUUAGAUGAAAUUUUCAAAACUUCUAUUUUUUGAAAGUUUUCAUUUUUAUUGAGAAUAUUAGAAGAAAUUUUGUUGAUAGAUGAGUAUUCCUUGUGGACUUUUGAUCAAUAAGUUGUAUUUUUAAGAUAAAAUUCUCAAAAGUGUAUUUAGGAAAGUUUUAUUUUUAUUGGGAAAUAUUGUAGAUUUGGGGUUCAGAUUAAAAAUAUUAGAAAACAGAAUUUUUGUUGAUAGGUGAGCAUUCUUUUAAAAGUUUUGAUCAUAGGUUGUAUAUUUUAUAUAAAUUCACAAAAUUCUAUUUUUGGAAAGUUUCAUUUUUGUGAAUAAUAGUGUGGAUUUGAGGUUUUGAUUUAGAAAUUACGAUAACAAAAAUUAUUUGUUGAUAGAUGGAGUAUUCUUUUACAUUUUUGAUGAAUAGUUAUAUUUUUUAAAUAUAAUUAUCAAAAGUUCUAUUUUAGGAAAGUUUUCAUUUAGGUGAAUAAUAGUGUGUAUUUGGGGUUUUGAUUUAGAAAUUAGGAUAACAAGAAUUGUUUGUUUAAUGAUGGAGUAUUAUUUUAGAUUUUUUGACGAAUAAUUGUAAUUUUUAAAUAUAAUUAUCAAAAGUUCUAUUUUAGGAAAGUUUUCAUUGUCUAUAGAAAUAUUGUAGAUUUGGAGUUGUGAUUUAGAAAUUAGGAUAACAAUAUUUUUUGUUGAUAUAUGAGUAUUUGUUUAGAUUUUUUGAUCAAUAGGUUAUAUUUUAGAUAAAAUUCUCAAAACUUCUAUUUUUAGAAAGUUUUCAUUUUUAUUGAGAAAUAUUGUAGAGUUAGGGUUGUGAUUUAGAAUUUAGGAUAACAAGAAAUUUUGUUGAGAGAUGAGUAUUCUUUGAGGAUUUUUGAUCAAUAAGUUGUAUUUUUAAGAUAAAAUUCUCAAAAAUCUAUUUUAGGAACGUUUUAUUUUUAUUUGGAAAUAUUGUAGAUUUGGGGUUCAGAUUAAAAAUAUUAGAACAACAAGAAUUUUUGUUGAUAGGUGAGCAUUUUUUAAAAAGUUUUGAUCACUAGGUUGUAUAUUUUAUAUAAAAUUCUCAAAAAUUCUAUUUUUGGAAAGUUUCAUUUUUGUGAAUAAUAGUGUGGAUUUGGGGUUUUGAUUUAGAAAUUAGGAUAAAAGAAUUGUUUGUUGAUAGAUGGAGUAUUCUUUUACAUUUUUUGAUGAAUAGUUGUAUUUUUAAAAUAUAAUUCUCAAAAGUUCUAUUUUAGGAAAGUUUUCAUUUUGAUGAAUAAUAGUGUGGAUUUGGGGUUUUGAUUUAGAAAUUAGGAUAACAAGAAUUGUUUGUUGAAAGAUGGAGUAUUCUUUUAGAUUUUUUGAUCAAUAGUUGUAUUUUUUAAAUAUAAUUCUCAAAAGUUCUAUUUUAGAAAAGUUUUCAUUGUCUAUAGAAAUAUUGUAGAUUUGGGGUUGUGAUUUAGAAAUUAGGAUAACAAUAUUUUUUGUUGAUAUAUGAGUAUUUUUUUUAGAUUUGAUCAAUAGGUUGUUUUUUAGAUAAAAUUCUCAAACUUCUAUUUUUAGAAAGUUUUCAUUUUUAUUGAGAAAUAUUGUAGAUUUAGGGUUGUAAUUUAGAAUUUAGGAUAACAAGAAAUUUUGUUGAUAGAUGAGUAUUCUUUGAGGAUUUUUGAUCAAUAAGUUGUAUUUUUAAGAUAAAAUUCUCAAAAAAUCUAUUUUAGGAAAGUUUUAUUUUUAUUUGGAAAUAUUGUAGAUUUGGGGUUCAGAUUAAAAAUAUUAGAACAACAAGAAUUUUUGUUGAUAGGUGAGCAUUUUUUUAAAGUUUUGAUCACUAGGUUGUAUAUUUUAUAUAAUUCUCAAAAUUCUAUUUUUGGAAAGUUUCAUUUUUGUGAAUAUAGUGUGGAUUUGGGGUUUUGAUUUAGAAAUUAGGAUAACAAGAAUUGUUUGUUGAUAGAUGGAGUAUUCUUUUACAUUUUUUGAUGAAUAGUUGUAUUUUUAAAAUAUAAUUCUCAAAAGUUCUAUUUUAGGAAAGUUUCCAUUUUUGUUGAAUAAUAGUGUGGAUUUGGGGUUUUGAUUUAGAAAUUAGGAUAACAAGAAUUGUUUGUUGAUAGAUGGAGUAUUCUUUUAGAUUUUUUGAUCAAUAGUUGUAUUUUUAAAUAUAAUUAUCAAAAUUCUAUUUUAGGAAAGUUUUCAUUGUCUAUAGAAAUAUUGUAGAUUUGGGGUUGUGAUUUAGAAAUUAGGAUAACAAUAUUUUUUGUUGAUGUAUGAGUAUUUGUUUAGAUUUUUGGAUCAAUAGGUUGUUUUAGAUAAAUUCUCAAAACUUCUAUUUUUAGAAAGUUUUCAUUUUAUUGAGAAAUAUUGUAGAGUUAGGGUUGUGAUUUAGAAUUUAGGAUAACAAGAAAUUUUGUUGAUAGAUGAGUAUUCUUUGAGGAUUUUUGAUCAAUAAGUUGUAUUUUUAAGAUAAAUUCUCAAAAAAUCUAUUUUAGGAAAGAAAGUUUAUUUUUAAUUGGAAAUUGUAGAUUUGGGGUUCAGAUUAAAAAUAUUAGAACAACAAGAAUUUUGUUGAUAGGUGAGUAUUUUUUUAAAAGUUUUGAUCAAUAGGUUGUAUAUUUAUAUAAAAAUUCUCAAAAUUCUAUUUUGGAAAGUUUUCAUUUUUGUGAAUAAUAGUGUGGAUUUGGGGUUUUGAUUUAGAAAUUAGGAUAACAAGAAUUGUUUGUUGAUAGAUGGAGUAUUCUUUUACAAUUUUUGAUGAAUAGUUGUAUUUUUUAAAUAUAAUCUCAAAAGUUAUAUUUUAGAAAAAAAAUUUUGGUGAAUAAUAGUGUGGAUUUGGGGUUUUGAUAUAGAAAUUAGGAUAACAAGAAUUGUUUGUUUACAGAUGGAGUAUUCUUUUAGAUUUUUUGAUCAAUAGUUGUAUUUUUUAAAUAUAAUUAUCAAAAGUUCUAUUUUAGGAAAGUUUUCAUUGUAUAUAGAAAUAUUGUAGAUUUGGGGUUGUUGUUUAGAAAUUAGGAAAAUAUAUUUUUUGAUGUAUGAGUAUUUUUUUAGAUUUUGAUCAAUAGGUUGUAUAUUUAGAUAAAAUUCUCAAAACUUCUAUUUUUAGAAAGUUUUCAUUUUAUUGAGAAAUAUUGUAGAUUUAAGGUUGUGAUUUAGAAUUUAGGAUAACAAGAAAUUUUGUUGAUAGAUGAGUAUUCUUUGAGGUUUUUUGAUCAAUAGGUUGUAUAUUUUAGAUGAAAUUUUCAAAACUUCUAUUUUUUGAAAGUUUUCAUUUUUAUUGAGAAAUAUUGUAGAGUUAGAGUUGUGAUUUAGAAUUUAGGAUAACAAGAAAUUUUGUUGAUAGAUGAGUAUUCCUUGUGGACUUUUGAUCAAUAAGUUGUAUUUUUAAGAUAAAAUUCUCAAAAGUGUUAUUUAGGAAAGUUUUAUUUUUAUUGGGAAAUAUUGUAGAUUUGGGGUUCAGAUUAAAAAUAUUAGAACAACAAGAAUUUUUGUUGAUAGGUGAGCAUUCUUUUAAAAGUUUUGAUCAAUAGGUUGUAUAUUUUAUAUAAAAUUCACAAAAAUUCUAUUUUUGGAAAGUUUCAUUUUUGUGAAUAAUAGUGUGGAUUUGAGGUUUUGAUUUAGAAAUUACGAUAACAAAAAUUAUUUGUUGAUAGAUGGAGUAUUCUUUUACAUUUUUGAUGAAUAGUUAUAUUUUUUAAAUAUAAUUAUCAAAAGUUCUAUUUUAGGAAAGUUUUCAUUUAGGUGAAUAAUAGUGUUUUGGGGUUUGAUUUAGAAAUUAGGAUAACAAGAAUUGUUUGUUAAUGAUGGAGUAUUAUUUUAGAUUUUUUGACGAAUAAUUGUAAUUUUUAAAUAUAAUUAUCAAAAGUUCUAUUUUAGGAAAGUUUUCAUUGUCUAUAGAAAUAUUGUAGAUUUGGAGUUGUGAUUUAGAAAUUAGGAUAACAAUAUUUUUUGUUGAUUAUGAGUAUUUGUUUUAGAUUUUUUGAUCAAUAGGUUAUAUUUUAGAUAAAAUUCUCAAAACUUCUAUUUUAGAAAGUUUCAUUUUUAUUGAGAAAUAUUGUAGAGUUAGGGUUGUGAUUUAGAAUUUAGGAUAACAAGAAAUUUUGUGAGAGAUGAGUAUUCUUUGAGGAUUUUGAUCAAUAAGUUGUAUUUUAAGAUAAAAUUCUCAAAAAUUCUUUUUAGGAACGUUUUAUUUUUAUUUGGAAAUAUUGUAGAUUUGGGGUUCAGAUUAAAAAUAUUAGAACAACAAGAAUUUUUGUUGAUAGGUGAGCAUUUUUAAAAAGUUUUGAUCACUAGGUGUAUAUUUUAUAUAUAAAAUUCUCAAAAUUCUAUUUUUGAAAGUUUCAUUUUGUGAAUAAUAGUGUGGAUUUGGGGUUUUGAUUUAGAAAUUAGGAUAAAGAAUUGUUUGUUGAUAGAUGGAGUAUUCUUUUACAUUUUUUGAUGAAUAGUUGUAUUUUUAAAUAUAAUUCUCAAAAGUUCUAUUUUAGGAAAGUUUCAUUUUGAUGAAUAAUAGUGUGGAUUUGGGGUUUUGAUUUAGAAAUUAGGAUAACAAGAAUUGUUUGUUGAAAGAUGGAGUAUUCUUUUAGAUUUUUUGAUCAAUAGUUGUAUUUUUUAAAUAUAAUUCUCAAAAGUUCUAUUUUAGAAAGUUUUCAUUGUCUAUAGAAAUAUUGUAGAUUUGGGGUUGUGAUUUAGAAAUUAGGAUAACAAUAUUUUGUUGAUAUAUGAGUAUUUUUGUUAGAUUUUUUGAUCAAUAGGUUGUAUAUUUUAGAUAAAAUUCUCAAAACUUCUAUUUUUAGAAAGUUUUCAUUUUUAUUGAGAAAUAUUGUAGUUUAGGGUUGUGAUUGUAAUUUAAUUUAGGAUAACAAGAAAUUUUGUUGAUAGAUGAGUAUUCUUUGAGGAUUUUUGAUCAAUAAGUUGUAUUUUUAAGAUAAAAUUCUCAAAAAAUCUAUUUUAGGAAAGUUUUUUUUUAUUUGGAAAUAUUGUAGAUUUGGGGUUCAGAUUAAAAAUAUUAGAACAACAAGAAAUUUUUGUUAGGUGAGCAUUUUUUAAAAGUUUUGAUCACUAGGUGUAUAUUUUAUAUAAAAUUCUCAAAAAUUCUAUUUUGGAAAUUUCAUUUUGUGAAUAAUAGUGUGGAUUUGGGGUUUUGAUUUAGAAAUUAGGAUAACAAGAAUUGUUUGUUGAUAGAUGGAGUAUUCUUUUACAUUUUUUGAUGAAUAGUUGUAUUUUAAAAUAUAAUUCUCAAAAGUUCUAUUUUAGGAAAGUUUCCAUUUUGUUGAAUAAUAGUGUGGAUUUGGGGUUUUGAUUUAGAAAUUAGGAUAACAAGAAUUGUUUGUUGAUAGAUGGAGUAUUCUUUUAGAUUUUUGAUCAAUAGUUGUAUUUUUUAAAUAUAAUUAUCAAAAGUUCUAUUUUAGGAAAGUUUUCAUUGUCUAUAGAAUAUUGUAGAUUUGGGGUUGUGAUUUAGAAAUUAGGAUAACAAUAUUUUUUGUUGAUAUAUGAGUAUUGUUUAGAUUUUUGGAUCAAUAGGUUGUUUAUCUUAGAUAAAAUUCUCAAAACUUCUAUUUUAGAAAGUUUUCAUUUUUAUUGAGAAUAUUGUAGAGUUAGGGUUGUGAUUUAGAAUUUAGGAUAACAAGAAAUUUGUUGAUAGAUGAGUAUUCUUUGAGGAUUUUUGAUCAAUAAGUUGUAUUUUUAAGAUAAAAUUCUCAAAAAUCUAUUUUAGGAAAGUUUUAUUUUUAAUUGGAAAUAUUGUAGAUUUGGGGUUCAGAUUAAAAAUAUAGAACAACAAGAAUUUUGUUUGAUAGGUGAGUAUUUUUUUAAAAGUUUUGAUCAAUAGGUUGUAUUUUUAUAUAAAAUUCUCAAAAAUUCUAUUUUUGGAAAGUUUCAUUUUUGUGAAUAAUAGUGUGGAUUUGGGGUUUUGAUUUAGAAAUUAGGAUAACAAGAAUUGUUUGUUGAUAGAUGGAGUAUUCUUUACAUUUUUUGAUGAAUAGUUGUAUUUUUUAAAUAUAAUUCUCAAAAGUUAUAUUUAGAAAAAAAAAAUUUUGGUGAAUAAUAGUGUGGAUUUGGGGUUUUGAUUAUAGAAAUUAGGAUAACAAGAAUUGUUUGUUACAGAUGGAGUAUUCUUUUAGAUUUUUUGAUCAAUAGUUGUAUUUUUUAAAUAUAAUUAUCAAAGUUCUAUUUUAGGAAAGUUUUCAUUGUAUAUAGAAAUAUUGUAGAUUUGGGGUUGUGGUUUAGAAAUUAGGAUAAAAAUAUAUUUUUUGAUGUAUGAGUAUUUUUUUAGAUUUUUUUAUCAAUAGGUGUAUAUUUAGAUAAAAUCUCAAAACUUCUAUUUUAGAAAGUUUUCAUUUUUAUGAGAAAUAUUGUAGAUUUAAGGUUGUGAUUUAGAAUUUAGGAUAACAAGAAAUUUUGUUGAUAGAUGAGUAUUCUUUAGGUUUUUGAUCAAUAGGUUGUAUAUUUUAGAUGAAAUUUUCAAAACUUCUAUUUUUGAAAGUUUUCAUUUUUAUUGAAAAUAUUGUAGAGUUAGAGUUUGAUUUAGAAUUAGGAUAACAAGAAAUUUUGUUGAUAGAUGAGUAUUCUUGUGGACUUUUGAUCAAUAAGUUUGUAUUUUAAGAUAAAAUUCUCAAAAGUGUUAUUUAGGAAAGUUUUAUUUUUAUGGGAAAUAUUGUAGAUUUGGGGUUCAGAUUAAAAAUAUUAGAACAACAAGAAUUUUUGUUGAUAGGUGAGCAUUCUUUUAAAAAGUUGAUCAAUAGGUUGUAUAUUUUAUAUAAAAUUCACAAAAUUCUAUUUUUGGAAAGUUUCAUUUUUGUGAAUAAUAGUGUGGAUUUUGGGUUUUGAUUUAGAAAUUACGAUAACAAAAUUGUUUGUUGAUAGAUGGAGUAUUCUUUUACAUUUUUUGAUGAAUAGUUGUAUUUUUUAAAUAUAAUUAUCAAAAGUUCUAUUUUAGGAAAGUUUUCAUUUAGGUGAAUAAUAGUGUGUAUUUGGGGUUUGAUUUAGAAAUUAGGAUAACAAGAAUUGUUUUUUGUUAAUGAUGGAGUAUUAUUUUAGAUUUUUGACAAUAAUGUAUUUUUAAAUAUAAUUAUCAAAAGUUAUAUUUUAGGAAAGUUUUCAUUGUCUAUAGAAAUAUUGUAGAUUUGGAGUUGUGAUUUAGAAAUUAGGAUAACAAUAUUUUUUGUUGAUAUAUGAGUAUUUGUUUAGAUUUUUUGAUCAAUAGGUUAUAUUUUAGAUAAAUUCUCAAAACUUCUAUUUUUAAAAAGUUUCAUUUUUAUUGAGAAAUAUUGUAGAGUUAGGGUUGUGAUUUAGAAUUUAGGAUAACAAGAAAUUUUGUUGAGAGAUGAGUAUUCUUUGAGGAUUUUUGAUCAAUAAGUUGUAUUUUUAAGAUAAAAUUCUCAAAAAUCUAUUUUAGGAAAGUUUUAUUUUUAUUUGGAAAUAUUGUAGAUUUGGGGUUCAGAUUAAAAAUAUUAGAACAACAAGAAUUUUUGUUGAUAGGUGCCAUUUUUAAAAAGUUUUGAUCACUAGUUGUAUUUAUAUAUAAAAUUUUCAAAAAUUCUAUUUUUGGAAAGUUUCAUUUUUGUGAAUAAUAGUGUGGAUUUGGGGUUUUGAUUUAGAAAUUAGGAUAAAAGAAUUGUUGAUAGAUAGAGGAGUAUUCUUUUACAUUUUUUGAUGAAUAGUUGUAUUUUUAAAAUAUAAUUCUCAAAAGUUCUAUUUUAGGAAAGUUUCCAUUUUGAUGAAUAAUAGUGUGGAUUUGGGGUUUUGAUUUAGAAAUUAGGAUAACAAGAAUUGUUUGUUGAAAGAUGGAGUAUUCUUUUAGAUUUUUGAUCAAUAGUUGUAUUUUAAAUAUAAUUCUCAAAAGUUCUAUUUUAGGAAAGUUUUCAUUGUCUAUAGAAAUAUUGUAGAUUUGGGGUUGUGAUUUAGAAAUUAGGAUAACAAUAUUUUUGUUGAUGUAUAUGAGUAUUUUUUUAGAUUUUUGAUCAAUAGGUUGUUAUUUUAGAUAAAAUUCUCAAAACUUCUAUUUUUAGAAAGUUUUCAUUUUUAUUGAGAAAUAUUGUAGAUUAGGGUUGUGAUUUAGAAUUUAGGAUAACAAGAAAUUUUGUUGAUAGAUGAGUAUUCUUUGAGGAUUUUUGAUCAAUAAGUUGUAUUUUUAAGAUAAAAUUCUCAAAAAAUCUAUUUUAGGAAAGUUUUAUUUUAUUUGGAAAUAUUGUAGAUUUGGGGUUCAGAUAAAAAUAUUAGAACAACAAGAAUUUUUGUUGAUAGGUGAGCAUUUUUUAAAAGUUUUGAUCAAUAGGUUGUAUAUUUAUAUAAAAUUCUCAAAAAUUCUAUUUUUGGAAAGUUUCAUUUUUGUGAAUAAUAGUGUGGAUUUGGGUUUUGAUUUAGAAAUUACGAUAACAAGAAUUGUUUGUUGAUAGAUGGAGUAUUCUUUUACAUUUUUUGAUGAAUAGUUGUAUUUUAAAAUAUAAUUCUCAAAAGUUCUAUUUUAGGAAAGUUUCAUUUUGAUGAAUAAUUGUGGAUUUGGGGUUUUGAUUAGAAAUUAGGAUAACAAGAAUUGUUUGUUGAAAGAUGGAGUAUUCUUUUAGAUUUUUUGAUCAAUAGUUGUAUUUUUUAAAUAUAAUUAUCAAAAGUUCUAUUUUAGGAAAGUUUUCAUUGUCUAUAGAAAUAUUGUAGAUUUGGAGUUGUGAUUUAGAAAUUAGGAUAACAAUAUUUUUUGUUGAUGUAUGAGUAUUUGUUUAGAUUUUUUGAUCAAUAGGUUAUAUUUUAGAUAAAAUUCUCAAAACUUCUAUUUUUAGAAAGUUUUCAUUUUUAUUGAGAAUAUUGUAGAGUUAGGUUUGUGAUUUAGAAUUUAGGAUAACAAGAAUUUUGUUGAUAGAUGAGUAUUCUUUGAGGAUUUUUGAUCAAUAAGUUGUAUUUUUAAGAUAAAAUUCUCAAAAAUCUAUUUUAGGAAAGUUUUAUUUUUAUUUGGAAAUAUUGUAGAUUUGGGGUUCAGAUUAAAAUAUUAGAACAACAAGAAUUUUUGUUGAUAGGUGAGCAUUUUUUAAAAGUUUUGAUCAAUAGGUUGUAUAUUUAUAUAAAAUUCUCAAAAAUUCUAUUUUGGAAAGUUUCAUUUUGUGAAUAAUAGUGUGGAUUUGGGGUUUUGAUUUAGAAAUUAGGAUAACAAGAAUUGUUUGUUGAUAGAUGGAGUAUUCUUUUACAUUUUUUGAUGAAUAGUUGUAUUUUUAAAAUAUAAUUCUCAAAGUUCUAUUUUAGGAAAGUUUCCAUUUGUUGAAUAAUAGUGUGGAUUUGGGGUUUUGAUUAGAAUUAGGGAUAACAAGAAUUGUUUGUUGAUAGAUGGAGUAUUCUUUUAGAUUUUUGAUCAAUAGUUGUAUUUUUAAAUAUUAUUAUCAAAAGUUCUAUUUUAGGAAAGUUUUUCAUUGUCUAUAGAAAUAUUGUAGAUUUGGGGUGUGAUUUAGAAAUUAGGAUAACAAUAUUUUUUGUUGAUGUAUGAGUAUUUUUUUAGAUUUUUGAUCAAUAGGUUGUUUAUUUUAGAUAAAAUUCUCAAAACUUCUAUUUUUAGAAAGUUUUCAUUUUUAUUGAGAAAUAUUGUAGACUUAGGUUUGUGAUUUAGAAUUUAGGAUAACAAGAAAUUUUGUUGAUAGAUGAGUAUUCUUUGAGGAUUUUUGAUCAAUAAGUUUUAUUUUAAGAUAAAAUUCUCAAAAAAUCUAUUUAGGAAAGUUUUAUUUUUAUUGGAAAUAUUGUAGAUUUGGGGUUCAGAUUAAAAAUAUUAGAACAACAAGAAUUUUUGUUGAUAGGUGAGCAUUCUUUUAAAAGUUUUGAUCAAUAGUUGUAUAUUUUAUAUAAAAUUCUCAAAAAUUCUAUUUUUGGAAAGUUUUCAUUUUGUGAAUAAUAGUGUGGAUUUGGGUUUUGAUUUAGAAAUUAGGAUAACAAGAAUUGUUUGUUGAUAGAUGGAGUAUUCUUUUACAUUUUUUUAUGAAUAGUUGUAUUUUUUAAAUAUAAUUCUCAAAAGUUAUAUUCUCAAAAGUUCUAUUUAGAAAAUUUCUUUUUGGUGAAUAAUAGUGUGGAUUUGGGGUUUUGAUUUAGAAAUUAGGAUAACAAGAAUUGUUUGUUUACAGAUGGAGUAUUCUUUUAGAUUUUUUGAUCAAUAGUUGUAUUUUUUAAAUAUAAUUAUCAAAAGUUCUAUUUUAGGAAAGUUUUCAUUGUAUAUAGAAAUAUUGUAGAUUUGGGGUUGUGGUUUAGAAAUUAGGAUAAAAAUAUAUUUUUUUGAUGUAUGAGUAUUUUUUUAGAUUUUUUUUAUCAAUAGGUUGUAUAUUUUAGAUAAAAUUCUCAAAACUUCUAUUUUUAGAAAGUUUUCAUUUUUAUUGAGAAAUAUUGUAGAUUUGGGUUGUGAUUUAGAAUUAGGAUAACAAGAAUUUUGUUGAUAGAUGAGUAUUUUUGAGGUUUUUGAUCAAUAGUUGUAUAUUUUAGAUAAAAUUCUCAAAACUUCUAUUUUUUGAAAGUUUUCAUUUUUAUUGAGAAAUAUUGUAGAGUUAGGGUUGUGAUUUAGAAUUUAGGAUAACAAGAAAUUUUGUUGAUAGAUGAGUAUUCUUUGAGGAUUUUGAUCAAUAAGUUGUAUUUUUAAGAUAAAAUUCUCAAAAAUCUAUUUUAGGAAAGUUUUAUUUUUAUUGGGAAAUAUUGUAGAUUUGGGGUUCAGAUUAAAAAUAUUAGAACAACAAGAAUUUUUGUUGAUAGGUGAGCAUUCUUUAAAAGUUUUGAUCAAUAGGUUGUAUAUUUUAUAUAAAAUUCUCAAAAAUUCUAUUUUGGAAAGUUUCAUUUUUGUGAAUAAUAGUGUGGAUUUGGGGUUUUGAUUUAGAAAUUAGGAUAACAAGAAUUGUUUGUUGAUAGAUGGAGUAUUCUUUUACAUUUUUUGAUGAAUAGUUGUAUUUUUAAAAUAUAAUUCUCAAAAUUCUAUUUUAGGAAAGUUUCCAUUUUGAUGAAUAAUAGUGUGGAUUUGGGGUUUUGAUUUAGAAAUUAGGAUAACAAGAAUUGUUUGUUGAAAGAUGGAGUAUUCUUUUAGAUUUUUUGAUCAAUAGUUGUAUUUUUUAAAUAUAAUUCUCAAAAGUUCUAUUUUAGGAAAGUUUUCAUUGUCUAUAGAAAUAUUGUAGAUUUGGAGUUGUGAUUUAGAAAUUAGGAUAACAAUAUUUUUUGUUGAUGUAUGAGUAUUUGUUUAGAUUUUUGAUCAAUAGGUUAUAUUUUAGAUAAAAUUCUCAAAACUUCUAUUUUAAAAAGUUUUCAUUUUUAUUGAGAAAUAUUGUAGAGUUAGGGUUGUGAUUUAGAAUUUAGGAUAACAAGAAAUUUUGUUGAUAGAUGAGUAUUCUUUGAGGAUUUUUGAUCAAUAAGUUGUAUUUUUAAGAUAAAAUUCUCAAAAAAUCUAUUUUAGGAAAGUUUUAUUUUUAUUUGGAAAUAUUGUAGAUUUGGGGUUCAGAUUAAAAAUAUUAGAACAACAAGAAUUUUUGUGGAUAGGUGAGCAUUUUUAUAAAAGUUUGAUUAAUAGGUUGUAUAUUUUAUAUAAAAUUCUCAAAAAUUCUAUUUCUGGAAAGUUUCAUUUUUGUGAAUAAUAGUGUGGAUUUGGGGUUUUGAUUUAGAAAUUAGGAUAACAAGAAUUGUUUGUUGAUAGAUGGAGUAUUCUUUUACAUUUUUUGAUGAAUAGUUGUAUUUUUAAAAUAUAAUUCUCAAAAGUUCUAUUUUAGGAAAGUUUCCAUUUUGUUGAAUAAUAGUGUGGAUUUGGGGUUUUGAUUUAGAAAUUAGGAUAACAAGAAUUGUUUGUUGAUAGAUGGAGUAUUCUUUUAGAUUUUUUGAUCAAUAGUUGUAUUUUUUAAAUAUAAUUAUCAAAAUUCUAUUUUAGGAAAGUUUUCAUUGUCUAUAGAAAUAUUGUAGAUUUGGGGUUGUGAUUUAGAAAUUAGGAUAACAAUAUUUUUGUUGAUAUAUGAGUAUUUUUUAGAUUUUUUGAUCAAUAGGUUGUUUUUUUAGAUAAAAUUCUCAAAACUUCUAUUUUUAGAAAGUUUUCAUUUUUAUUGAGAAAUAUUGUAGAUUUAGGGUUGUGAUUUAGAAUUUAGGAUAACAAGAAAUUUUGUUGAUAGAUGAGUAUUCUUUGAGGAUUUUUGAUCAAUAAGUUGUAUUUUUAAGAUAAAAUUCUCAAAAAAUCUAUUUUAGGAAAGUUUUAUUUUAAUUGGAAAUAUUGUAGAUUUGGGGUUCAGAUUAAAAAUAUUAGAACAACAAGAAUUUUUGUUGAUAGGUGAGCAUUCUUUUAAAAUUUUGAUCAAUAGGUUGUAUAUUUAUAUAAAAUUCUCAAAAAUUCUAUUUUUGGAAAGUUUUCAUUUUUGUGAAUAAUAGUGUGGAUUUGGGGUUUUGAUUUAGAAAUUAGGAUAACAAGAAUUGUUUGUUGAUAGAUGGAGUAUUCUUUUACAUUUUUUAUGAAUAGUUGUAUUUUUAAAUAUAAUUCUCAAAAGUUAUAUUUUAGAAAAAUUUUCUUUUUGGUGAAUAAUAGUGUGGAUUUGGGGUUUUGAUAUAGAAAUUAGGAUAACAAGAAUUGUUUGUUUACAGAUGGAGUAUUCUUUUAGAUUUUUUGAUCAAUAGUUGUAUUUUUUAAAUAUAAUUAUCAAAAGUUCUAUUUUAGGAAAGUUUUCAUUGUAUAUAGAAAUAUUGUAGAUUUGGGGUUGUGGUUUAGAAAUUAGGAUAAAAAUAUAUUUUUUUGAUGUAUGAGUAUUUUUUUAGAUUUUUUUUAUCAAUAGGUUGUAUAUUUUAGAUAAAAUUCUCAAAACUUCUAUUUUAGAAAUUUUCAUUUUUAUUGAGAAAUAUUGUAGAUUUAAGGUUGUGAUUUAGAAUUUAGGAUAACAAGAAUUUUGUUGAUAGAUGAGUAUUCUUUGAGGUUUUUUGAUCAAUAGUUGUAUAUUUUAGAUGAAAUUUUCAAAAUUCUAUUUUUGAAAGUUUUCAUUUUUUAUGAGAAUAUUGUAGAGUUAGAGUUGUGAUUUAGAAUUUAGGAUAACAAGAAAUUUUGUUGAUAGAUGAGUAUUCCUUGUGGAUUUUUGAUCAAUAAGUUGUAUUUUUUAAGAUAAAAUUCUCAAAAGUGUUAUUUAGGAAAGUUUUAUUUUUAUUGGGAAAUAUUGUAGAUUUGGGGUUCAGAUUAAAAUAUUAGAACAACAAGAAUUUUUGUUGAUAGGUGAGAAUUCUUUUAAAAGUUUGAUCAAUAGGUUGUAUUUUUAUAUAAUUCACAAAAAUUUAUUUUUGGAAAGUUUCAUUUUUGUGAAUAAUAGUGUGGAUUUGGGGUUUUGAUUUAGAAAUUACGAUAACAAAAAUUAUUUGUUGAUAGAUGGAGUAUUCUUUUACAUUUUUUGAUGAAUAGUUGUAUUUUUAAAUAUAAUUAUCAAAAGUUCUAUUUUAGGAAAGUUUUCAUUUUAGGUGAAUAAUAGUGUGUAUUUGGGGUUUUGAUUUAGAAAUUAGGAUAACAAGAAUUGUUUGUUAAUGAUGGAGUAUUAUUUUAGAUUUUUAUCAAUAAUUGUAAUUUUAAAAUAAUUAUCAAAAGUUCUAUUUUAGGAAAGUUUUCAUUGUCUAUAGAAAUAUUGUAGAUUUGGAGGGUUGUGAUUUAGAAAUUAGGAUAACAAUAUUUUUUGUUGAUAGAUGAGUAUUUGUUUAGAUUUUUUGAUCAAUGGGUUAUAUUUUAGAUAAAUUCUCAAAACUUCUAUUUUUAGAAAGUUUUCAUUUUAUUGAGAAAUAUUGUAGAGUUAGGGUUGUGAUUUAGAAUUUAGGAUAACAAGAAAUUUUGUUGAGAGAUGAGUAUUCUUUGAGGAUUUUUUAUCAAUAAGUUGUAUUUUUAAGAUAAAAUUCUCAAAAAAUCUAUUUUAGGAAGUUUUUAUUUUUAUUUGGAAAUAUUGUAGAUUUGGGGUUUCAGAUUAAAGUAUUUAGAACAACAAGAAUUUGUUGAUAGGUGAGCAUUUUUUAAAAAGUUUUGAUCAAUAGGUUGUAUAUUUUAUAUAAAAUUCUCAAAAUUCUAUUUUUGGAAAGUUUCAUUUUUGUGAAUAAUAGUGUGGAUUUGGGGUUUGAUUUAGAAAUUAGGAUAAAAAAAUUGUUGUUGAUAGAUGGAGUAUUCUUUUACAUUUUUUGAUGAAUAGUUGUAUUUUUAAAAUAUAAUUCUCAAAAGUUCUAUUUUAGGAAAGUUUCCAUUUUGAUGAAUAAUAGUGUGGAUUUGGGGUUUUGAUUUAGAAAUUAGGAUAACAAGAAUUGUUUGUUGAAAGAUGGAGUAUUCUUUUAGAUUUUUUGAUCAAUAGUUGUAUUUUUUAAAUAUAAUUCUCAAAAGUUCUAUUUUAGGAAAGUUUUCAUUGUCUAUAGAAAUAUUGUAGAUUUGGGUUGUGAUUUAGAAAUUAGGAUAACAAUAUUUUUUGUUGAUGUAUGAGUAUUUUUUUAGUUUUUUUGAUCAAUAGGUUGUAUAUUUUUAGAUAAAUUCUCAAAACUUCUAUUUUAGAAAGUUUUCAUUUUUAUUGAGAAUAUUGUAGAUUUAGGGUUGUGAUUUAGAAUUUAGGAUAACAAGAAAUUUUGUUGAUAGAUGAGUAUUCUUUGAGGAUUUUUGAUCAAUAAGUUGUAUUUUUAAGAUAAAUUCUCAAAAAUCUAUUUUAGGAAAGUUUUAUUUUUUAAUUGGAAAUAUUGUAGAUUUGGGGUUCAGAUUAAAAAUAUUAGAACAACAAGAAUUUUUUGUUAUAGGUGAGCAUUCUUUUAAAAGUUUUGAUCAAUAGGUUGUAUAUUUAAUAUAAAAUUCUCAAAAAUUCUAUUUUUGGAAAGUUUUCAUUUUUGUGAAUAAUAGUGUGGAUUUGGGGUUUUGAUUUAGAAAUUAGGAUAACAAGAAUUGUUUGUUGAUAGAUGGAGUAUUCUUUUACAUUUUUUGAUGAAUAGUUGUAUUUUUAAAUAUAAUUCUCAAAAGUUCUAUUUUAGAAAAUUUUCUUUUUGGAUAAUAGUGUGGAUUUGGUUUUGAUUUAGAAAUUAGGAUAACAAGAAUUGUUGUUUACAGAUGGAGUAUUCUUUUAGAUUUUUUGAUCAAUAGUUGUAUUUUUUAAAUAUAAUUAUCAUAAGUUCUAUUUUAGGAAAGUUUUCAUUGUAUAUAGAAAUAUUGUAGAUUUGGGUUGUGGUUUAGAAAUUAGGAUAAAAUAUUUUUUUUGAUGUAUGAGUAUUUUUUUAGAUUUUUUGAUCAAUAGUUGUAUAUUUUAAAUAAAAUUCUCAAAAUUCUAUUUUUUAAAGUUUUCAUUUUUAUUGAGAAAUAUUGUAGAUUUGGGUUGUGAUUUAGAAUUUAGGAUAACAAGAAAUUUGUUGAUAGAUGAGUAUUCUUUGAGGUUUUGAUCAAUAGGUUGUAUAUUUUAGAUAAAUUUUCAAAACUUCUAUUUUUUGAAAGUUUUCAUUUUUAUUGAGAAAUAUUGUAGAUUAGGGUUGUGAUUUAGAAUUUAGGAUAACAAGAAAUUUUGUUGAUAGAUGAGUAUUCUUUGGACUUUUGAUCAAUAAGUUGUAUUUUUAAGAUAAAAUUCUCAAAAGUUUAUUUAGGAAAGUUUUAUUUUUAUUGGGAAAUAUUGUAGAUUUGGGGUUCAGAUUAAAAUAUUAGAACAACAAGAAUUUUUGUUGAUAGGUGAGAUUCUUUUAAAUUUUUUGAUCAAUAGGUUGUAUAUUUAAUAUAAAAUUCUCAAAAAUUCUAUUUUAGGAAAGUUCAUUUUUGUGAAUAAUAGUGUGGAUUUGGGGUUUUGAUUUAGAAAUUACGAUAACAAAAAUUAUUUGUUGAUAGAUGGAGUAUUCUUUUAGAUUUUUUGAUGAAUAGUUGUAUUUUUUAAAUAUAAUUAUCAAAAGUUCUAUUUUAGGAAAGUUUUCAUUAGGUGAAUAAUAGUGUGUAUUUGGGUUUUGAUUUAGAAAUUAGGAUAACAAGAAUUGUUUGUUUAAUGAUGGAGUAUUUUUUAGAUUUUUGACAAAUAAUUGUAAUUUAAAAUAUAAUUAUCAAAAGUUCUAUUUUAGGAAAGUUUUCAUUGUCUAUAGAAAUAUUGUAGAUUUGGAUUGUGAUUUAGAAAUUAGGAUAACAAAUUUUUUUUGUUGAUAGAUGAGUAUUUGUUUAGAUUUUUGAUCAAUAGGUAUAUUUUAGAUAAAAUUCUCAAAACUUCUAUUUUUAGAAAGUUUUCAUUUUUAUGAAAUAUUGUAGAGUUGGGGUUGUGAUUUUAGAAUUUAGGAUAACAAGAAAUUUUGUUGAGAGAUGAGUAUUCUUUGAGGAUUUUGAUCAAUAAGUUGUAUUUUUUAAGAUAAAAUUCUCAAAAAUCUAUUUUAGGAAAGUUUAUUUUUAUUUGGAAAUAUUGUAGAUUUGGGUUCUGAUUUAAAAUAUUAGAAUAACAAGAAUUUUUGUUGAUAGGUGAUAUUUUUUUAAAGUUUGAUCAUAGGUUGUAUUUUUAUAUAAAAUUCUCAAAAAUUCUAUUUUUGGAAAGUUUCAUUUUUGUGAAUAAUAGUGUGGAUUUGGGGUUUUGAUUUAGAAAUUAGGAUAAAAGAAUUGUUUGUUGAUAGAUGGAGUAUUCUUUUACAUUUUUUGAUGAAUAGUUGUAUUUUUAAAUAUAAUUCUCAAAAUUCUAUUUUAGGAAAGUUUCCAUUUUGAUGAAUAAUAGUGUGGAUUUUGGGUUUUGAUUUAGAAUUAGGAUAACAAGAAUUGUUUGUUGAAAGAUGGAGUAUUCUUUUAGAUUUUUUGAUCAAUAGUUGUAUUUUUUAAAUAUAAUUCUCAAAAGUUCUAUUUUAGGAAAGUUUUCAUUGUCUAUAGAAAUAUUGUAGAUUUGGAGUUGUGAUUUAGAGAAUUAGGAUAACAAUAUUUUUGUUGAUGUAUGAGUAUUUCUUUAGAUUUUUUGAUCAAUAGGUUAUAUUUUAGAUAAAAUUCUCAAAACUUUAUUUUUAAAAGUUUUCAUUUUUAUUGAGAAUAUUGUAGAUUUGGGGUUGUGAUUUAGAAAUUAGGAUAACAAGAAAUUUUGUUGAUAGAUGAGUAUUCUUUGAGGAUUUUUGAUCAAUAGUUGUAUUUUUAAGAUAAAAUUCUCAAAAAUCUAUUUUAGGAAAGUUUUUAUUUUUAUUUGGAAAUAUUGUAGAUUUGGGGUUCAGAUUAAAAAUAUUAGAACAACAAGAAUUUUGUUGAUAGGUGAGCAUUUUUAUAAAGUUUUGAUAAUAGGUUGUAUAUUUUAUAUAAAAUUCUCAAAAAUUCUAUUUUGGAAAGUUUCAUUUUUGUGAAUAAUAGUGUGGAUUUGGGUUUUGAUUUAGAAAUUAGGAUAACAAGAAUUGUUUGUUGAUAGAUGGAGUAUUCUUUUACAUUUUUUGAUGAAUAGUUGUAUUUUUAAAAUAUAUUCUCAAAAGUUCUAUUUUAGGAAAGUUUCAUUUUGUUGAAUAAUAGUGUGGAUUUGGGGUUUUGAUUUAAAAUUAGGAUAACAAGAAUUGUUUGUUGAUAGAUGGAGUAUUCUUUUAGAUUUUUUGAUCAAUAGUUGUAUUUUUUAAAUAUAAUUAUCAAAAUUCUAUUUUAGGAAAGUUUUCAUUGUCUAUAGAAAUAUUGUAGAUUGGGGUUGUGAUUAGAGAAAUUAGGAUAACAAUAUUUUUGUUUGAUAUAUGAGUAUUUGUUUAGAUUUUUUGAUCAAUAGGUUGUUUAUUUUAGAUAAAAUUCUCAAAACUUCUAUUUUUAGAAAGUUUUCAUUUUUAUUGAGAAAUAUUGUAGAGUUAGGGUUGUGAUUUAGAAUUUAGGAUAACAAGAAAUUUUGUUGAUAGAUGAGUAUUCUUUGAGGAUUUUUUGAUCAAUAAGUUGUAUUUUUAAGAUAAAAUUCUCAAAAAAAUCUUUAGGAAAGUUUUAUUUUUUAUUGGAAAUAUUGUAGAUUUGGGGUUCAGAUUAAAAAUAUUAGAACAACAAGAAUUUUUGUUGAUAGGUGAGCAUUUUUUUAAAGUUUGAUCAAUAGGUUGUAUAUUUUAUAUAAAAUUCUCAAAAAUUCUAUUUUUGGAAAGUUUUCAUUUUUGUGAAUAAUAGUGUGGAUUUGGGGUUUUGAUUUAGAAAUUAGGAUAACAAGAAUUGUUUGUUGAUAGAUGGAGUAUUCUUUUACAUUUUUUGAUGAAUAGUUGUAUUUUUUAAAUAUAAUUCUCAAAAGUUCUAUUUUAGGAAAGUUUUCAUUUAGUGAAUAAUAGUGUGGAUUUGGGGUUUUGAUUUAGAAAUUAGGAUAACAAGAAUUGUUUGUUUAAUGAUGGAGUAUUCUUUUAGAUUUUUUGACAAUAGUUGUAUUUUUAAAAUAAUUAUCAAAAGUUCUAUUUUAGGAAAGUUUUCAUUGUCUAUAGAAAUAUUGUAGAUUUGGGGUUGUGAUUUAGAAAUUAGGAUAACAAUAUUUUUUGUUGAUAUAUGAGUAUUUGUUUAGAUUUUUUGAUCAAUAGGUUAUAUUUAGAUAAAAUUCUCAAAAUUCUAUUUUAGAAAGUUUUCAUUUUUAUUGAGAAAUAUUGUAGAGUUAGGGUUGUGAUUUAGAAUUUAGGAUAACAAGAAAUUUUGUUGAUAGAUGAGUAUUCUUUGAGGAUUUUUGAUCAAUAAGUUGUAUUUUUAAGAUAAAAUUCUCAAAAAUCUAUUUUAGGAAAGUUUUAUUUUUAUUUGGAAUAUUGUAGAUUUGGGGUUCAGAUUAAAAAUAUUAGAACAACAAGAAUUUUUGUUGAUAGGUGAGCAUUUUUAAAAGUUUUGAUCACUAGGUUGUAUAUUUUAUAUAAAAUUCUCAAAAAUUCUAUUUUUGGAAAGUUUCAUUUUUGUGAAUAAUAGUGUGGAUUUGGGGUUUUGAUUUAGAAAUUAGGAUAAAAGAAUUUUUUGUUGAUAGAUGGAGUAUUCUUUUACAUUUUUUGAUGAAUAGUUGUAUUUUUAAAAUAUAAUUCUCAAAAGUUCUAUUUUAGGAAAGUUUCCAUUUUGAUGAAUAAUAGUGUGGAUUUGGGGUUUUGAUUUAGAAAUUAGGAUAACAAGAAUUGUUUGUUGAAAGAUGGAGUAUUCUUUUAGAUUUUUUGAUCAAUAGUUGUAUUUUUUAAAUAUAAUUCUCAAAAGUUCUAUUUUAGAAAAGUUUUCAUUGUCUAUAGAAAUAUUGUAGAUUUGGGGUUGUGAUUUAGAAAUUAGGAUAACAAUAUUUUUUGUUGAUGUAUGAGUAUUUUUUUUAGAUUUUUUGAUCAAUAGGUUGUAUAUUUUAGAUAAAAUUCUCAAAACUUCUAUUUUUAGAAAGUUUUCAUUUUUAUUGAGAAAUAUUGUAGAUUUAGGGUUGUAAUUUAGAAUUUAGGAUAACAAGAAAUUUUGUUGAGAGAUGAGUAUUCUUUGAGGAUUUUUGAUCAAUAAGUUGUAUUUUUAAGAUAAAAUUCUCAAAAAUCUAUUUUAGGAAAGUUUUAUUUUUAUUUGGAAAUAUUGUAGAUUUGGGGUUCAGAUUAAAAAUAUUAGAACAACAAGAAUUUUUGUGGAUAGGUGAGCAUUUUUAUAAAAGUUUUGAUUAAUAGGUUGUAUAUUUUAUAUAAAAUUCUCAAAAAUUCUAUUUCUGGAAAGUUUCAUUUUUGUGAAUAAUAGUGUGGAUUUGGGGUUUUGAUUUAGAAAUUAGGAUAACAAGAAUUGUUUGUUGAUAGAUGGAGUAUUCUUUUACAUUUUUUGAUGAAUAGUUGUAUUUUUAAAAUAUAAUUCUCAAAAGUUCUAUUUUAGGAAAGUUUCAAUUUUGAUGAAUAAUAGUGUGGAUUUGGGGUUUUGAUUUAGAAAUUAGGAUAACAAGAAUUGUUUGUUGAAAGAUGGAGUAUUCUUUUAGAUUUUUUGAUCAAUAGUUGUAUUUUUUAAAUAUAAUUCUCAAAAGUUCUAUUUUAGGAAAGUUUUCAUUGUCUAUAGAAAUAUUGUAGAUUUGGAGUUGUGAUUUAGAAAUUAGGAUAACAAUAUUUUUUGUUGAUGUAUGAGUAUUUGUUUAGAUUUUUUGAUCAAUAGGUUAUAUUUUAGAUAAAAUUCUCAAAACUUCUAUUUUUAAAAAGUUUUCAUUUUUAUUGAGAAAUAUUGUAGAGUUAGGGUUGUGAUUUAGAAUUUAGGAUAACAAGAAAUUUUGUUGAUAGAUGAGUAUUCUUUGAGGAUUUUUGAUCAAUAAGUUGUAUUUUUAAGAUAAAAUUCUCAAAAAAUCUAUUUUAGGAAAGUUUUAUUUUUAAUUGGAAAUAUUGUAGAUUUGGGGUUCAGAUUAAAAAUAUUAGAACAACAAGAAUUUUUGUUAAUAGGUGAGCAUUCUUUUAAAAGUUUUGAUCAAUAGGUUGUAUAUUUUAUAUAAAAUUCUCAAAAAUUCUAUUUUUGGAAAGUUUUCAUUUUUGUGAAUAAUAGUGUGGAUUUGGGGUUUUGAUUUAGAAAUUAGGAUAACAAGAAUUGUUUGUUGAUAGAUGGAGUAUUCUUUUACAUUUUUUUAUGAAUAGUUGUAUUUUUAAAAUAUAAUUCUCAAAAGUUCUAUUUUAGGAAAGUUUCCAUUUUGAUGAAUAAUAGUGUGGAUUUGGGGUUUUGAUUUAGAAAUUAGGAUAACAAGAAUUGUUUGUUUAAUGAUGGAGUAUUAUUUUAGAUUUUUAACGAAUAAUUGUAAUUUUAAAAUAUAAUUAUCAAAAGUUCUAUUUUAGGAAAGUUUUCAUUGUCUAUAGAAAUAUUGUAGAUUUGGGGUUGUGAUUUAGAAAUUAGGAUAACAAUAUUUUUUGUUGAUAUAUGAGUAUUUGUUUAGAUUUUUGGAUCAAUAGGUUGUUUAUCUUAGAUAAAAUUCUCAAAACUUCUAUUUUUAGAAAGUUUUCAUUUUUAUUGAGAAAUAUUGUAGAGUUAGGGUUGUGAUUUAGAAUUUAGGAUAACAAAAUUUUGUUGAUAGAUGAGUAUUCUUUGAGGAUUUUGAUCAAUAAGUUGUAUUUUUAAGAUAAAAUUCUCAAAAAUCUAUUUAGGAAAGUUUUAUUUUUAUUGGAAAUAUUGUAGAUUUGGGGUUCAGAUUAAAAAUAUUAGAACAACAAGAAUUUUGUUGAUAGGUGAGCAUUCUUUUAAAGUUUUGAUCAAUAGGUGUAUAUUUUUAUAUAAAAUUCUCAAAAAUUCUAUUUUUGGAAAGUUUUCAUUUUUGUGAAUAAUAGUGUGGAUUUGGGGUUUUGAUUUAGAAAUUAGGAUAACAAGAAUUUUGUUGAUAGAUGGAGUAUUCUUUUACAUUUUUUGAUGAAUAGUUGUAUUUUUUUAAAAUAUAAUUCUCAAAAGUUCUAUUUUAGAAAAAAAAAAUUUUGUGGUGAAUAAUAGUGUGGAUUUGGGGUUUUGAUAUAGAAAUUAGGAUAACAAGAAUUGUUUGUUUUACAGAUGGAGUAUUCUUUUAGAUUUUUUGAUCAAUAGUUGUAUUUUUUAAAUAUAAUUAUCAAAAGUUCUAUUUUAGGAAAGUUUCAUUGUCUAUAGAAAUAUUGUAGAUUUGGGUUGUGGUUUAGAAAUUAGGAUAAAAAUAUUUUUUGAUGUAUGAGUAUUUUUUAGAUUUUUUGAUCAAUAGGUUUUAUUUUAGAUAAAAUUCUCAAAACUUCUAUUUUUAGAAAGUUUUCAUUUUUAUUGAGAAAUAUUGUAGAUUAAGGUUGUGAUUUAGAAUUUAGGAUAACAAGAAAUUUUGUUGAUAGAUGAGUAUUCUUUGAGGAUUUUUGAUCAAUAAGUUGUAUUUUUAAGAUAAAUUCUCAAAAGUAUUUUAGGAAAGUUUUAUUUUUAUUGGAAAUAUUGUAGAUUUGGGGUUCAGAUUUAAAAUAUUAGAACAACAAGAAUUUUUGUUGAUAGGUGAGCAUUCUUUUAAAAGUUUUGAUCAAUAGGUUGUAUAUUUAUAUAAAUUCUCAAAAAUUCUAUUUUGGAAAGUUUCAUUUUUGUGAAUAAUAGUGUGGAUUGGGGUUUUGAUUUAGAAAUUAGGAUAACAAGAAUUGUUUGUUGAUAGAUGGAGUAUUCUUUUACAUUUUUUGAUGAAUAGUUGUAUUUUUAAAAUAUAAUUCUCAAAGUUAUUUUAGAAAGUUUUCUUUUGGUGAAUAAUAGUGUGGGGGUUGGGGUUUUGAUUUAGAAAUUAGGAUAACAAGAAUUGUUUGUUUACAGAUGGAGUAUUCUUUUAGAUUUUUUGAUCAAUAGUUGUAUUUUUUAAUAUAAUUAUCAAAGUUCUAUUUUAGGAAAAUUUUCAUUGUAUAUAGAAUAUUGUAGAUUUGGGGUGUGAUUUAGAAAUUAGGAUAAAAAUAUUUUUUUGAUGUAUGAGUAUUUUUUAGAUUUUUUUUAUCAAUAGUUUUCAUUUUUAUUGAGAAAUAUUGUAGAUUAGGUUGUGAUUUAGAAUUUAGGAUAACAAGAAUUUGUUGAUAGAUGAGUAUUCUUUGUGGAUUUUGAUCAAUAAGUUGUAUUUUUAAGAUAAAAUUCUCAAAGUUAUUUAGGAAAGUUUUAUUUUUAUUGGAAUAUUGUAGAUUUGGGGUUCAGAUUAAAAAUAUUAGAACAACAAGAAUUUUUGUUGAUAGGUGAGCAUUCUUUUAAAAGUUUUGAUCAAUAGGUUGUAUAUUUUAUAUAAAAUUCUCAAAAAUUCUAUUUUUGGAAGUUUUCAUUUUUGUGAAUAAUAGUGUGGAUUUGGGGUUUUGAUUUAGAAAUUGGAUAACAAGAAUUGUUUGUUGAUAGAUGGAGUAUUCUUUUACAUUUUUUGAUGAAUAGUUGUAUUUUUUAAAUAUAAUUCUCAAAAGUUAUUUUUAGAAAAUUUCUUUUGGUGAAUAAUAGUGUGGAUUUGGGUUUUGAUUUAGAAAUUAGGAUAACAAGAAUUGUUUGUUUACAGAUGGAGUAUUCUUUUAGAUUUUUUGAUCAAUAGUUGUAUUUUUUAAAUAUAAUUAUCAAAAGUUCUAUUUUAGGAAAGUUUUCAUUGUAUAUAGAAAUAUUGUAGAUUUGGGGUUGUGGUUUAGAAAUUAGGAUAAAAAUAUAUUUUUUUGAUGUAUGAGUAUUUUUUUAGAUUUUUUUUAUCAAUAGGUUGUAUAUUUUAGAUAAAAUUGUCAAAACUUCUAUUUUUAGAAAGUUUUCAUUUUUAUUGAGAAAUAUUGUAGAUUUACGGUUGUGAUUUAGAAUUUAGGAUAACAAGAAAUUUUGUUGAUAGAUGAGUAUUCUUUGAGGUUUUUUGAUCAAUAGGUUGUAUAUUUUAGAUGAAAUUUUCAAAACUUCUAUUUUUUGAAAGUUUUAAUUUUUAUUGAGAAAUAUUGUAGAGUUAGAGUUGUGAUUUAGAAUUUAGGAUAACAAGAAAUUUUGUUGAUAGAUGAGUAUUCCUUGUGGACCUUUGAUUAAUAAGUUGUAUUUUUAAGAUAAAAUUCUCAAAAGUGUUAUUUAGGAAAGUUUUAUUUUUAUUGGGAAAUAUUGUAGAUUUGUGGUUCAGAUUAAAAAUAUUAGAACAACAAGAAUUUUUGCUGAUAGGUGAGCAUUCUUUUAAAAGUUUUGAUCAAUAGGUUGUAUAUUUUAUAUAAAAUUCACAAAAUUCUAUUUUUGGAAAGUUUCAUUUUUGUGAAUAAUAGUGUGGAUUUGGGGUUUUGAUUUAGAAAGUACGAUAACAAAAAUUAUUUGUUGAUAGAUGGAGUAUUCUUUUACAUUUUUUGAUGAAUAGUUGUAUUUUUUAAAUAUAAUUAUCAAAAGUUCUAUUUUAGGAAAGUUUUCAUUUAGGUGAAUAAUAGUGUGUAUUUGGGGUUUUGAUUUAAAAAUUAGGAUAACAAGAAUUGUUUGUUUAAUGAUGGAGUAUUCUUUUAGAUUUUUUGACGAAUAAUUGUAAUUUUUAAAUAUAAUUAUCAAAAGUUCUAUUUUAGGAAAGUUUUCAUUGUCUAUAGAAAUAUUGUAGAUUUGGAGUUGUGAUUUAGAAAUUAGGAUAACAAUAUUUUUUGUUGAUGUAUGAGUAUUUGUUUAGAUUUUUUGAUCAAUAGGUUAUAUUUUAGAUAAAAUUCUCAAAACUUCUAUUUUUAAAAAGUUUUCAUAUUUAUUGAGAAAUAUUGUAGAGUUAGGGUUGUGAUUUAGAAUUUAGGAUAACAAGAAAUUUUUUUGAGAGAUGAGUAUUCUUUGAGGAUUUUUGAUCAAUAAGUUGUAUUUUUAAGAUAAAAUUCUCAAAAAAUCUAUUUUAGGAACGUUUUAUUUUUAUUUGGAAAUAUUGUAGAUUUGGGGUUCAGAUUAAAAAUAUUAGAACAACAUGAAUUUUUGUUGAUAGGUGAGCAUUUUUUUAAAAGUUUUGAUCACUAGGUUGUAUAUUUUAUAUAAAAUUCUCAAAAAUUCUAUUUUUGGAAAGUUUCAUUUUUGUGAAUAAUAGUGUGGAUUUGGGGUUUUGAUUUAGAAAUUAGGAUAACAAGAAUUGUUUGUUGAUAGAUGGAGUAUUCUUUUACAUUUUUUGAUGAAUAGUUGUAUUUUUAAAAUAUAAUUCUCAAAAGUUCUAUUUUAGGAAAGUUUCCAUUUUGAUGAAUAAUAGUGUGGAUUGGGGUUUUGAUUUAGAAAUUAGGAUAACAAGAAUUGUUUGUUGAAAGAUGGAGUAUUCUUUUAGAUUUUUUGAUCAAUAGUUGUAUUUUUUAAAUAUAAUUCUCAAAAGUUCUAUUUUAGAAAAGUUUUCAUUGUCUAUAGAAAUAUUGUAGAUUUGGGGUUGUGAUUUAGAAAUUAGGAUAACAAUAUUUUUUGUUGAUGUAUGAGUAUUUUUUUUAGAUUUUUUGAUCAAUAGGUUGUAUAUUUUAGAUAAAAUUCUCAAAACUUCUAUUUUUUGAAAGUUUUCAUUUUUAUUGAGAAAUAUUGUAGAUUUAGGGUUGUAAUUUAGAAUUUAGGAUAACAAGAAAUUUUGUUGAUAGAUGAGUAUUCUUUGAGGAUUUUUGAUCAAUAAGUUGUAUUUUUAAGAUAAAAUUCUCAAAAAUCUAUUUUAGGAAAGUUUUAUUUUUAUUUGGAAAUAUUGUAGAUUUGGGGUUCAGAUUAAAAAUAUUAGAACAACAAGAAUUUUUGUUGAUAGGUGAGCAUUUUUUUAAAAGUUUUGAUCACUAGGUUGUAUAUUUUAUAUAAAAUUCUCAAAAAUUCUAUUUUUGGAAAGUUUCAUUUUUGUGAAUAAUAGUGUGGAUUUGGGGUUUUGAUUUUGAAAUUAGGAUAACAAGAAUUGUUUGUUGAUAAAUGGAGUAUUCUUUUACAUUUUUUGAUGAAUAGUUGUAUUUUUAAAAUAUAAUUCUCAAAAUUUAUAUUUUAAGAAAGUUUCCAUUUUGACAAAUAAUAGUGUGGAUUUGGGGUUUUGAUUUAGAAAUUAGGAUAACAAGAAUUGUUUGUUGAUAGAUGGAGUAUUCUUUUAGAUUUUUUGAUGAAUAGUUGUAUUUUUUAAAUAUAAUUAUCAAAAGUUCUAUUUUAGGAAAGUUUUCAUUGUCUAUAGAAAUAUUGUAGAUUUGGGAUUGUGAUUUAGAAAUUAGGAUAACAAUAUUUUUUGUUGAUGUAUGAGUAUUUGUUUAGAUUUUUUUAUCAACAUGUUAUAUUUUGAGAAUUUUAUCUAAAAUAUAACCUAUUGAUAAAAAAAUAUAAACAAAUACUUUGAGGAAUUUUGAUCAGUAAGAUGUAUUGUUAAGAUAAAAUUCUCAAAGAGUCUAUUUUAUGAAAGUUUAUUUUUAUUGGGAAAUAUUGUAGAUUUGGGGUUCAGAUUAAAAAUAUUAGAACAACAAGAAUUUUUGUUGAUAGGUGAGCAUUCUUUUAAAAGUUUUGAUCAAUAGGUUGUAUAUUUUAUAUAAAAUUCACAAAAAUUCUAUUUUUUGAAAGUUUUCAUUUUUGUGAAUAAUAGUGUGGAUUUGGGGUUUUGAUUUAGAAAUUAGGAUAACAAGAAUUGUUUGUUGAUAGAUGGAGUAUUCUUUUACAUUUUUUGAUGAAUAGUUGUAUUUUUUUAAAUAUAAUUCUCAAAAGUUAUAUUUUAGAAAAAAAUUCUUUUUGGUGAAUAAUAGUGUGGAUUUGGGGUUUUGAUUUAGAAAUUAGGAUAACAAGAAUUGUUUUUUUACAGAUGGAGUAUUCUUUUAGAUUUUUUUAUGAAUAGUUGUAUUUUUUAAAUAUAAUUCUCAAAAGUUCUAUUUGAAAAAAGUUUUCAUUUUGGUGAAUUAAAGUGUGGAUUUGGGGUUUUGAUUUAGAAAUUAGGAUAACAAGAAUUGCUUGUUUAUAGAUGGAGUAUUCUUUUAGAUUUUUUGACCAAUAGUUGUAUAUUUUAAAUAUAAUUAUCAAAACUUCUAUUUUAGGAAAGUUUUCAUUGUAUAUAGAAAUAUUGUAGAUUUGAGGUUGUGAUUUAGAAAUUAGGAUAACAAUAUUUUUUUUUGAUGUAUGAGUAUUUUUUUUAGAUAUUUUGAUCAAUAGGUUGUAUAUUUUAGAUAAAAUUCUCAAAACUUCUAUUUUUAGAAAUUUUUUAUUUUUAUUGAGAAAUAUUGUAGAUUUAGGGUUGUGAUUUAGAAGUUAGGAUAACAAGAAAUUUGGUUGAUAAAUGAGUAUUCUUUGAGGAUUUUUGAUCAAUAGGUUGUAUAUUUUAGAUGAAAUUUUCAAAACUUCUAUUUUAAGAAAGUUCUCAUUUUUAUUGAGAAAUAUAGUAGAGUUAGGGUUGUGAUUUAGAAUUUAGGAUAACAAGAAAUUUUGUUGAUGGAUGAGUAUUCUUUGAGGAUUUUUUAUCAAUAAUUUGUAUUUUUAAGAUAAAAUUCUCAAAAAAU
Molecule: long non-coding RNA, 27027 nt
Filed under: Brassica rapa (field mustard)
Lineage: Eukaryota; Viridiplantae; Streptophyta; Magnoliopsida; Brassicales; Brassicaceae
Description: long non-coding RNA (BRAP_LNC004209)
Source: RNAcentral